AUCCGAUCGUCAGGGGCGAACGAUCUGCCCUUGCGAAUGCCGAU
RNAcentral lists this small RNA (44 nucleotides) under Sinorhizobium meliloti 2011. RNAcentral's name for it is "putative ncRNA". The record is from RNAcentral. Lineage: Bacteria; Pseudomonadati; Pseudomonadota; Alphaproteobacteria; Hyphomicrobiales; Rhizobiaceae.